GUGGGGAAUUUUGGACAAUGGGCGCAAGCCUGAUCCAGCAAUGCCGCGUGCAGGAAGAAGGCCUUCGGGUUGUAAACUGCUUUUGUACGGAACGAAACGGUCCUGGCUAAUACCUGGGGCUAAUGACGGUACCGUAAGAAUAAGCACCGGCUAACUACGUGCCAGCAGCCGCGGUAAUACGUAGGGUGCGAGCGUUAAUCGGAAUUACUGGGCGUAAAGCGUGCGCAGGCGGUGCUGUAAGACAGGCGUGAAAUCCCCGGGCUCAACCUGGGGAUUGGUCUUGUGACUGCAGUGCUGGAGUGCGGCAGAGGGGGAUGGAAUUCCGCGUGUAGCAGUGAAAUGCGUAGAUAUGCGGAGGAACACCGAUGGCGAAGGCAAUCCCCUGGGCCUGCACUGACGCUCAUGCACGAAAGCGUGGGGAGCAAACAGGAUUAGAUACCCUGGUAGUCC
RNAcentral lists this ribosomal RNA (450 nucleotides) under uncultured bacterium. RNAcentral's name for it is "partial 16S ribosomal RNA". It matches the Rfam family "Bacterial small subunit ribosomal RNA", at positions 354 to 796 of the family's 1533-position model. The record is from RNAcentral.